Molecule: non-coding RNA, 48 nt
Organism: Schistosoma mattheei
Lineage: Eukaryota; Metazoa; Platyhelminthes; Trematoda; Strigeidida; Schistosomatidae
Source: Rfam
AUCUACCUGACGAAUCCCAAACAGGACGGAACGCACGUCAAACUGGAU